Molecule: ribosomal RNA, 736 nt
Filed under: uncultured fungus
Lineage: Eukaryota; Fungi
Description: LSU rRNA
Rfam family: Eukaryotic large subunit ribosomal RNA
Source: RNAcentral
ACCCGCUGAACUUAAGCAUAUCAAUAAGCGGAGGAAAAGAAACUAACAAGGAUUCCCCUAGUAACGGCGAGUGAAGCGGGAAAAGCUCAAAUUUGAAAUCACAUAGGUUUUACCUGUGCGAAUUGUAGUUUAUAGAAACGUUUUCGGGGGCGGCUUGGAUAUAAGUCCUUUGGAAAGAGGCAUCAUAGAGGGUGAUAAUCCCGUAAAUGGUCCAAUGUCCGCUCCUAUGUGAUGCGUUCUCAAAGAGUCAGGUAGUUUGGGAUUGCUGCCUAAAAUGGGUGGUAAAUACCAUCUAAAGCUAAAUAUUGGCGAGAGACCGAUAGCGAACAAGUACCGUGAGGGAAAGAUGAAAAGAACUUUGAAAAGAGAGUUAAACAGUACGUGAAAUUGCCAAAAGGGAAACGCUUGGAACCAGUAUUGUUUGCAAGUAAUCAAGUACACGUUCCGAGAGGGCCCCGUGUGGUGCACUUGCUUGCGGACAGGCCAACAUCAGUUUGAUUUGGGGUAAAAAGCCUGAGAAAGGUAGCUUGGCUUCGGCUGAGUGUUAUAGUCUCUGGUCAUGCCUUGGAUUGGACUGAGGACUGCAGCGUUUUUUGGGUACCCGAUUGCCUCCUUUCUUCAUCUUUCUUUAGACAGCAUGCUGACUCUAGAAGUGAAGGGGGAGCCCGGUCGGUUUGCUACACCAGCGCUUAGGAUGUUGGCGAAAUGGUUCCAAACGACCCGUCUUGAAACACGG